RNAcentral lists this unclassified non-coding RNA (165 nucleotides) under Kondoa phyllada. Its description in RNAcentral is "ITS 1". The record is from RNAcentral. Lineage: Eukaryota; Fungi; Basidiomycota; Agaricostilbomycetes; Agaricostilbales; Kondoaceae.
GUGAAGUUAUCAGGGUGCUUUCAUUAGGCCCGACUACACUUAUUACACACUGUGCACUUGUUUAUAAAUUGAUGGCUUGACUCACAUCGAGCUGUCUCUUUAUUUCAUACACUUGUUAAUGGAAAGAAGUUGAUAGGAUGUAAUCAAAUUGAUUAAACGAAAGUA